ACCACCACCAUCAUCAUCAUCAUGAUCAUCAUCAUCAUCAAUUUAUCCUCAAUCAGAAGGUCAUGGAAGCAGAUUCAGAAAAUGGGUCAUCUUUAAGUAAAAGCCAUCUGAUAUUUUACUGCAAGCAUGUGGCAGUGAAGACGACAAUGACUGCUAGUAUGGUUUGUGCCACUGCCUUGAUUUCCGCUCAGGCACCAGCAGUCUUACCCACCAUUGCUUUGGUGCAGUUGGUGGAGAUAUCAAUGGAUCAAAAGCGCAAGUAAUAUGACUCGGCUCCCUAUGCCCAGUAAAUAUAAAUUUUCAGAACUGUGAUCACAGCCCUGGCUAAAUAGUGCCCCUGGUCAAACCUUCGUAGGCAAAAUGUUUUCUCCAGCUUUCUGCUAGUUCUUAGAAGCCAGUGUGAAGGAAAAGGGAUGUCAUGAAGCAUCACUCUCCAAGCUGAUCAUCUAUUCCAUUGCCUUGAGAAUUAUGUAGAAUAA
Long non-coding RNA from Homo sapiens (human), 479 nucleotides. RefSeq lists it as uncharacterized. The record is from RefSeq and is a predicted model, not a curated record. The transcript is spliced from 3 exons. Lineage: Eukaryota; Metazoa; Chordata; Mammalia; Primates; Hominidae.